CCUACGGGUGGCUGCAGUCGGGAAUUUUGGGCAAUGGGCGAAAGCCUGACCCAGCAACGCCGCGUGAAGGAUGAAGCUUUUCGGAGUGUAAACUUCAUAAGAAUGGGACGAAUAAGGAGGGGUCAAUACCCCCUUCGAUGACGGUACCAUUUGUAAGCUCCGGCUAACUCCGUGCCAGCAGCCGCGGUAAUACGGGGGGAGCAAGCGUUGUUCGGAUUUACUGGGCGUAAAGGGCGCGUAGGCGGCGCAACAAGUCACUUGUGAAAUCUCCGGGC
This 275-nucleotide ribosomal RNA is filed under the name uncultured bacterium. RNAcentral describes it as "partial 16S ribosomal RNA". It matches the Rfam family "Bacterial small subunit ribosomal RNA", at positions 338 to 608 of the family's 1533-position model. The record is from RNAcentral.